Molecule: ribosomal RNA, 462 nt
Filed under: Streptococcus mitis
Lineage: Bacteria; Bacillati; Bacillota; Bacilli; Lactobacillales; Streptococcaceae
Description: bacterial SSU rRNA
Rfam family: Bacterial small subunit ribosomal RNA
Source: RNAcentral
GACGAACGCUGGCGGCGUGCCUAAUACAUGCAAGUAGAACGCUGAAGGAGGAGCUUGCUUCUCCGGAUGAGUUGCGAACGGGUGAGUAACGCGUAGGUAACCUGCCUGGUAGCGGGGGAUAACUAUUGGAAACGAUAGCUAAUACCGCAUAACAGUAGAUGUUGCAUGACAUUUGCUUAAAAGGUGCAAUUGCAUCACUACCAGAUGGACCUGCGUUGUAUUAGCUAGUUGGUGGGGUAACGGCUCACCAAGGCGACGAUACAUAGCCGACCUGAGAGGGUGAUCGGCCACACUGGGACUGAGACACGGCCCAGACUCCUACGGGAGGCAGCAGUAGGGAAUCUUCGGCAAUGGACGGAAGUCUGACCGAGCAACGCCGCGUGAGUGAAGAAGGUUUUCGGAUCGUAAAGCUCUGUUGUAAGAGAAGAACGAGUGUGAGAGUGGAAAGUUCACACUGUGACG